UACGUAGGUCCCGAGCGUUGUCCGGAUUUAUUGAGCGUAAAGCGAGCGCAGGUGGUUUAUUAAGUCUGGUGUAAAAGGCAGUGGCUCAACCAUUGUAUGCAUUGGAAACUGGUAGACUUGAGUGCAGGAGAGGAGAGUGGAAUUCCAUGUGUAGCGGUGAAAUGCGUAGAUAUAUGGAGGAACACUGGUGGCGAAAGCGGCUCUCUGGCCUGUAACUGACACUGAGGCUCGAAAGCGUGGGGAGCAAACAGG
This 252-nucleotide ribosomal RNA is filed under the name uncultured bacterium. Its description in RNAcentral is "partial 16S ribosomal RNA". It matches the Rfam family "Bacterial small subunit ribosomal RNA", at positions 524 to 776 of the family's 1533-position model. The record is from RNAcentral.